CUUGUAGUACUGGGACUCUAACCAUAGGCCAUGAAUCUGGUCUUGGGACACUGUCAGGUGGGCAGUUUGACUGGGGCGGUCGCCUCCCAAAAGGGAACGGAGGCGCUCAAAGGUUCUCUCAGUACGGUCGGAAAUCGUACGUAGAGUGUAAAGGCAAAAGAGAGCUUGAUUGCAAGACAUACAGGUCGAGCAAGGAUGAAAAUCGGACUUAGUGAU
Molecule: ribosomal RNA, 216 nt
Filed under: Clostridioides difficile
Lineage: Bacteria; Bacillati; Bacillota; Clostridia; Peptostreptococcales; Peptostreptococcaceae
Description: partial 23S ribosomal RNA
Rfam family: Bacterial large subunit ribosomal RNA
Source: RNAcentral